This 657-nucleotide small RNA is filed under the name Pan troglodytes (chimpanzee). RNAcentral's name for it is "retained intron". Lineage: Eukaryota; Metazoa; Chordata; Mammalia; Primates; Hominidae. The record is from RNAcentral.
CUGGAGAGUGACAGUGUGCGAGAGGAUUUGCUACGGAGGGAGCGGGAGCUCAGUGCCCAGAUUGCUGCUGGCAGGGCGGAGGGCUCUGAAGCUGCAGAGCUGGCAGAAAUCUAUGCCAAACUGGAGGAGAUUGAGGCUGACAAGGCACCUGCCAGGGCAUCAGUCAUUCUCGCUGGGCUUGGCUUUACCCCUAAAAUGCAGCAGCAGCCCACCCGGGAGUUCUCAGGUGGCUGGAGGAUGAGGCUGGCCCUGGCCCGGGCCCUCUUUGCUAGGCCAGAUCUUCUGCUGUUAGAUGAACCUACAAACAUGCUGGAUGUCAGGGCCAUCCUGUGGCUGGAGAAUUACCUGCAGACGUGGCCCUCCACCAUCCUAGUCGUCUCCCACGACCGCAACUUCUUGAAUGCCAUCGCCACAGACAUCAUCCACCUGCACAGCCAGCGGCUAGAUGGUUACCGGGGAGACUUUGAGACCUUCAUCAAGAGUAAGCAGGAGCGGCUGCUCAACCAGCAGCGUGAAUAUGAGGCGCAGCAGCAGUAUCGCCAGCACAUCCAGGUUUUCAUUGACCGGUUUCGCUACAAUGCCAACAGGGCCUCUCAAGUGCAGAGUAAACUCAAGAUGCUGGAGAAGCUGUGAGUACAGCAUCCUUGGCCAGGGCCU